This is an RNA transcript of Serinus canaria (Common canary), 4359 nucleotides long. It is a transcript of the gene named heterogeneous nuclear ribonucleoprotein A2/B1, with no coding region annotated. The transcript is spliced from 12 exons. The record is from RefSeq and is a predicted model, not a curated record. Lineage: Eukaryota; Metazoa; Chordata; Aves; Passeriformes; Fringillidae.
UGACGGGGCAGAGCGCACGACGCCGCCGCCGCCUACGCGCGAGCCGCUACAACCUCCGACCGUCGUCGCCGCCGGCACAGGAGGGGGUCAAGACGUCUCUCCAACGCGGGGCGAGCGCAGGACCGCGCCAGGCGUCCAAAAGAAGGAAGAUGCCUCGCGGCGACAGGGAAAGCGACUGGAGGGAAAAGGAGCAGUUCCGCAAACUGUUUAUUGGCGGCUUAAGCUUUGAAACCACAGAAGAAAGCCUGAGGAGUUACUAUGAGCAAUGGGGAAAGCUUACAGACUGUGUGGUUAUGCGGGAUCCUGCAAGCAAAAGAUCAAGGGGGUUUGGUUUUGUAACAUUCUCUUCCAUGGCUGAAGUUGAUGCAGCUAUGGCUGCAAGACCUCACACGAUUGAUGGAAGGGUGGUUGAGCCUAAGAGAGCUGUGGCUAGAGAGGAAUCUGGAAAACCUGGUGCUCAUGUUACUGUGAAAAAAUUAUUUGUUGGUGGUAUUAAAGAGGACACUGAAGAGCACCACCUUCGUGACUACUUUGAGGAGUAUGGAAAAAUUGACACUAUUGAAAUCAUUACUGACAGACAGUCUGGUAAAAAGAGAGGGUUUGGAUUUGUUACAUUUGAUGACCAUGAUCCUGUGGAUAAAAUUGUAUUGCAGAAGUACCACACCAUCAAUGGACAUAACGCAGAAGUAAGGAAAGCUCUCUCUAGACAGGAAAUGCAGGAGGUUCAAAAUUCUAGGAGUGGGAGAGGAGGGAACUUCGGUUUUGGUGAUGCUCGUGGAGGUGGUGGCAACUUCGGUCCAGGACCUGGCAGCAAUUUCAGAGGGGGAGCCGGUAAGACAGAUGGAUAUGGAAGUGGCCGUGGAUUUGGUGAUGGAUAUAACGGAUAUGGCGGAGGACCUGGAGGUGGCAACUUUGGUGGCAGUCCUGGUUACGGAGGAGGAAGAGGAGGCUAUGGUGGAGGAGGACCUGGUUAUGGCAACCAGGGUGGGGGCUAUGGAGGUGGUUAUGACAACUAUGGAGGAGGCAAUUACGGAAGUGGAAACUAUAAUGAUUUUGGCAACUACAACCAACAACCUUCAAAUUAUGGUCCGAUGAAGAGUGGAAAUUUUGGUGGCAGCAGGAACAUGGGGGGACCAUAUGGUGGAGGAAACUAUGGUCCCGGGGGCAGUGGAGGAAGUGGUGGCUAUGGAGGGAGGAGCCGUUAUUGAGUUUCUUCAAGCAUGCCAUGGCUAUGAUAUGAACCCUGGACAAGCAUAGACUGCUGCCACUGUACACUGCUACAGUUGAACAAAUGAGACCUGCAAGUGUCCAUUAGUAAAGCUUUGCAAGGGUUCCAUCCCUGGUGUUGGUAGUUAAAAUGGAAGGUGCCAUGCUGCAGGUAACUAAUGAAGAAGUGGUCAACCACAGAAACGCUUCAAGAAAUAAGAAAUUCUGUAUCAUCAGAAAAUAGUUGUUUUUGCUGCCUUCAUUAAAAAUCUAGAGGUUAAAUGAAUACUGAUAAAAGAUCACAAUUAGUACAGUUCCCUGUAAUGAUGGGUUUUUUAAAUUAUAGUAAUAAUGUCUUGUAAACCUUUCAAAUAAAAUUCGGAUUCGUUAGGAGAAACAAAUCACUAAUGUUAAAAUAGCAAACAUUCUGUGAUUAGAAAGUUUAACUACAUAUAUUUAUAACUUUCAUAGCUUUAAAAUAAAGUAUUUUUAUACCAAAGUAGUUCUUAGUGUAAUGCUUAAUAAAAACGUAGUGUGUAUCUAACAUUAAAUAAUGCUUAUGUUUAGACCCUUUCAUGAUUUGAAACAUUCCAUUUUGAGGUGAAUUUAAAACAGAAUCAAUUUGCCAAGUGUGUUCAUGGAACUUGUUACUCUGACCAUGGGCAUCGUUCUCUUUUGGGAGAAACAGUGCUGCAAAUUUAAAAGUGCUGAUGUCUUUGCUGUUGGACACAAGUGCUUAAAAGUAGCUUUUUUUGGCUGUGUUUUAUAUUACCUCAUACUGUCCUGUUAACAAAACUACAACCAAAGUCAGUUUGUCAGAUUGCAGUAGGACCAAGAGCGUUAUCUUUUCACUUUUAAAGUGCUUUUAGCAUGAAGACAGACUGACUGGAAUGUAGAGUUCCUGCUGUGUAAAACUAUUACCCAUAGCUGCAUCUGGGGGCUGAAGGAAAAUACCAAACCAAAAAAUACCAAACCAAACAAAACCAAUUAAAACAAACACCUAGUGUGAUCUUGGGAAAGCUUCAGUUGGGUGUGUAUUUAAGGGAAGUUACUUUUAGGUUACACUGUUUUAACCACUUAUCUUCAUGCAUGGUUUAUUCAAAACUUGAAAUUUAUAUGCUUUGGCAGAAUCAUCAUGUCUUUAACCUUUAUAAUACUGUUUAAGGAUUCACAUACAAUUUUUUUCUGUUUCUUAAGUUGAACUUUGAAAUACUUGAAUAGGUAACCGGUGGGCUGCAACGGAAGCAGAAAAUGAAGACGCACAAAUCUACUUUACUUUCUUCUUUCCAACAGAAUGACCAGAUCAUAAGGAAUUUGCCUUCUUUCCUAUAACUUAGAUGUAGUUGAUGGUAGUUUUUUCUUUACAGUUACCAAGUCCACAUUCAUACAUCAUUUCAAAAAACUAACCAAACCACUUCAAAGGGCAGUAAUUAUUUUUCUGUUUAAAAUACUACUUCAGUAGUGUAGCAACAAGGUUUAAAGUACUUGCAUUGAAUGUUUUCCAUAGGGAGGAUGUUCUCAUUUUGAUCUUAUGGCAGUGGGGGAAGGGAGUGUUUAGGGGAGACAGCACUGUGCAAGAAGGAAAUUACUGGAUAUUUCAAAUCUCAAAAACCUGGUGUCUUAAGUUUCCUGAUGUCCUCCUGUUGAAGUUCAUGAAUUUUUUUCUUGGUACGGUCUUAAAAGUUAUGGCAUAUGACAGUCAACAAUGGUCACCAGCAAAUGUGGUGAGACAAGUCAGUUUUGAGUCAACCUGAUACGGGAAGUUGGCAACAUCAAAUAAAAGCAGUAUUGUGUGGUCAAUUAUUGGUCAUCAAUUUGUAGACAAUGGAUUCUUACUUUCUAUCAAGUGGGAUUUAGUCACUACAGACAUCUUCCAAGUAAGUGUGACCUUAUCUUCCAAGUAAGUGUAACAUUGCAGUGUUUCCAGGUUCUAACAGCUGAGGAUCAGGUUGUCAGUGCAUAGGUACCAGAGCUUUUCCCCAGCGAACACUUUGUGCAGCAAACUGAGGGAAGAAAGAAAAACAACGUAACUUGUUGCUAACUGGUAUGUGACCCAAAGAACACCCAAAAAUUGAGUAUGACUUGUAUUUAUAAAGUGAUGGUGAAAAGAGGUCAUUAGUAGGGUUCUGGCCGCUCAGACUUCGUGUUAUCCACAAUGAAAGUUGAAUUUUCUUCACUUCUGUUGUCCUGCAGGUGCUAAAAAACAUUCAAGAAAAUACGACCAAUUGCUGUUAAUGCUGUAAAAUGAACAGGACUUGAACUUUGUUAUGUGUAGGAAAGACUGUUCUUUUAGUUUGAUGAUGAAUAUACAUGAUCUCUUGGUGAUGAAGUGUCAUCGCUUCUGGGGAAGAAAACCCAAGCCCCAGAAAUGGAUCUGAAUUUUCAAACAGUUGUCAGCUGAGUUUGUUUUGGUAGCUUUGCCUCAUUGGUAGAGGAUAAUUGGCUGGGAACGUACUGGGGCUGUGCAUUCCCUGUAGGCUUAGUGUUGUAUUUCAUUUUUCAAGUAGUGUGUGAAGCAAGUGAGCCACUACCACAGUAGUGCUAUUGCUUUUCCACCUAAGGGAGAUGGCUGUAUCUCUUCAUGUUUAUUCAGCCCUACCAUUCAAUGUGUCUAGGAUAGGAGUGUUACAAAGAAGGGUUUGCCUGGGUAAUAAUCCAUUUUGCCAGAAGUACUGUCCCUUGUAGCAGUCACAUUUUUGCUUUGCAGCUACUGUUGGUUUGUGUUGCACAGAACUUUUGUCAGGAGUUACUCCAGUUAAUGGAGCAAGAACUGGUUAGCUCAUCAGCAGUAAAAUUACCACUGUAUAAAUAAUACCUGUGUGACUUACCUGACAGAGUGCUAUGAACAUUAGGUCAGCAGUGUUUGGGCACCUUGUGAGACCUCCUAUGCUGCUUCACUGUACAAAAAAGGGUGACUGGGGGAAAGUUGUAGAAAAUUGCUGUUACCAGCACCCUUCCCCCCCCCUUGUUAGGUUGAUUUGGAGGCAUUCUUGUAUGAAAAUGAGUGGCUGAUGGACUUCAUGGAGUUGUAGUAACUGUGCAGCACAUGUCAAGUUGCAGUGCUUCAUGCGGUACACACUACAGUAAUACGACUUCACAUGGUUACAUCUGCAAUCUCUGUUUGGUUUACUUAAUAAACAGUUUCUCACUACA